Molecule: long non-coding RNA, 1158 nt
Filed under: Mus musculus (house mouse)
Lineage: Eukaryota; Metazoa; Chordata; Mammalia; Rodentia; Muridae
Description: predicted gene, 36279
Source: RNAcentral
AGUCGUCGGAGAUGGAGAGGCGGCUGAAGAUGGGUAGGCGACGGCCAGGGUCCAGGCUGGGGGACUCGGAGCCGCUGAGGCUGCCGGAGCUCAGCGAGCCGCUCAGAUGUUCCGUGAGAUAUGAAACCACCCCAUCUUAUAGAUGCUGAAACUGACACCACAGAAUGAUGCCAACUAAGUCAGAAGGGAAGUGACUUCUGACUGCAGUCUGACAAUACAUGAAAGACCCUAACACUCUGAGUGACCGCCACAGUGACCCGGCCGGGCAGUACUCACACUGAGGGUCAGAGGUGAUGAGGUUUAUGAGACUGAAGUACCAGUGUGACCUGACCUAAGCCUGCAAGGCUCAUUAUGGCUCACAAGGGAGGCUGCACAGGAAAGCCCACCACCCUGAGGUCCAGAUCCACCUGCCUUUCCACAACCAAAGAGAGCUACAGAAACCAGGUCACAGUCUGAUGCAAGCCACUCUAGGUGCUAACCUGUCAGCUACCUUGCUGAUGCAAGAUAUUCUCUAUCCUGAAAAUCUCUAUCCUUAAAAAGCUUCUGGUGUGGGUGAGCCGAUGAGACUCCUGACCAACAAACACCAGAACUGAAGAAGGUGGGUGUGACCAAAGUCGUCUGAGUUCUGAUGUCCAAAAGGCCAUGUGGAAAAGGAGGUCCAAGGAGCUGGCUAGGCCUUAGGAACCUAAGACUAAUGGGCUGACUUAGCACAGGCCAUGACAACACUCCCACAGACAUGAAGUAGGUAUAGGCAGGGUGACUCUAAAAGGACCUGGGACUCUACCCAUUCUUGGGUCUUUCCACAGUGUCACUCUGCCAUAUCCCUCCUGCAUGUCUUUAUUCUUUAGCCUCUACUAGGUGCUGUCACCCAGUCACUUCUCUUCCCAUCACUUCUAACGAUAUGGUGAUUGUAAUUGCAAGGUGUGUGUGCUUGUCUUCUAAGUAAGCCUUUACAUUUCAGGCAAUGGAUGGGGCUAAAAUGUCACACGGAUCCACAUUCACUUGAUUUUAUUUUAUUUUUUUAAUUUUGAGACAGGAUUUCUGUGUAGCCCUGGCUAUCCUAGAACUCGCUCUAUAAACCAAGCUGGCCUCAAACUCACAGAUAUCCACCUGCCUCUGCCUCUCAAGUACUGGGAUUAAAUGUGUGUGUCACUACCA